RNAcentral lists this long non-coding RNA (370 nucleotides) under Mytilus galloprovincialis (Mediterranean mussel). Lineage: Eukaryota; Metazoa; Mollusca; Bivalvia; Mytilida; Mytilidae. The record is from RNAcentral.
GGUUUCCGCUAGUGGUUGCCAUUUUCGCAUUUUGCAAAAUAAAUGAAAAAUAUGACGAUGACAGAUUUUAGCAAAAUAUUUUUUUUUACAGUUUGUAGUCAUUCUUGCUAAUAUUCUUUUCGGGUUUCACGGACUUUUCCCUGAUCAGACAAGACUAGUAUUUUAACUUGAACAUUUUACGCUUAACUAUUUUGACAAAACAUCAAUAAUUAGGUGACUGUACUUAAAUAUAACUUUCGAAAACAAUAAAUUAAUACGUAAAGGUAUUGCUUAAACUCUUUAAUGAAGUAAUAUUGUUAAGUGGGCCUCACAUGUCACAUAAAGGACUUGUUUUACAGCUUUUAUAGAAAUAUUUGUUUUUAGGGGAUUU